AUUGAACGCUGGCGGAAUGCUUUACACAUGCAAGUCGAACGGCAGCACGGACUUCGGUCUGGUGGCGAGUGGCGAACGGGUGAGUAAUGUAUCGGAACGUGCCCGGUCGUGGGGGAUAACGUAGUGAAAAUUACGCUAAUACCGCAUACGAUCUAUGGAUGAAAGCGGGGGAUCGCAAGACCUCGCGCGAUUGGAGCGGCCGAUAUCAGAUUAGGUAGUUGGUGGGGUAAAGGCCCACCAAGCCAACGAUCUGUAGCUGGUCUGAGGGGACGACCAGCCACACUGGAACUGAGACACGGUCCAGACUCCUACGGGAGGCAGCAGUGGGGAAUUUUGGACAAUGGGCGAAAGCCUGAUCCAGCCAUUCCGCGUGCAGGAUGAAGGCCCUCGGGUUGUAAACUGCUUUUGUACAGAACGAAAAGGUUUCUACUAAUACUAGGAGCUCAUGACGGUACUGUAAGAAUAAGCACCGGCUAACUACGUGCCAGCAGCCGCCGUAA
Molecule: ribosomal RNA, 500 nt
Filed under: uncultured bacterium
Lineage: Bacteria
Description: partial 16S ribosomal RNA
Rfam family: Bacterial small subunit ribosomal RNA
Source: RNAcentral